This is a long non-coding RNA of Gasterosteus aculeatus (three-spined stickleback), 431 nucleotides long. The record is from Ensembl. NCBI's taxonomy places the organism in Eukaryota, Metazoa, Chordata, Actinopteri, Perciformes, Gasterosteidae.
AUCUCGUGGACUGAAUCGAGAGGUGGUGAUCCGUUAAACGAGGGAAAAGGAAGAGAGUGGAAAAAGGCGCCUUGGACAAACAAUGAUUUUUUUGCAGAGAGAGUCGUGAAGCCUGUGGAUGGACGGAUGGAUGGAUGGAGGCAGAGUGAUGGAUGAAGAAGUGGGACGGUGUUGACCCAGCCCUGAAAGGCCCAAUGCUUAAUCCAAAGUUGUUUGCACCGGCGGCUAGUCUGGCAGAAGGAAUAACAGGAGCAGGCACCCAGCAUCAGCAUCUCCACAGCUCAGCCCAGGGCCGUAUCUUCUCACUGCAUCCAAAGGAAGAUGGGAUACAGAAUGUUAUGAGAACUUCUUACUCAUUCGGUCCAAACGCUUGUGGGCAGCAAACAGAUUUAGACCCUCAACCUGCUCUGGUCCAGGCCUGGAGGUUCUAA